ACUGACUGGCCCCCGAGCCCGGGGCAUCUGAGAAACCUCCUGCGAACGGCUACAGAGGAAAUUUUCAGGUGCGAGAGAUCUGAAGAAAGUUCUGGAACCUGCGCCUGGACCGGUUUGGACCCUCAGUGGAAACACAUCAAAGAGAAGGAAAACCAGCUGGGGAAGGAUCCUGGCAGCGGUGGCUCAGGGUGCUGGGCGGAGGCCCCAUUUUUCACCGACCGAUGGCUGGGAGAGCCUGUGCCACCCACUAUGCCCUGACACCCGCACAGGACGGCGACUCACAGAUGCCUUUUGCUGCUCUGCCCGGGUCCUGCCACGGCGCGAGGUGCAUCAGGCCAGGCAGCCACGCAAAGGCCCCGGCUCCUGGCUUCUGCCAUCUUUUCUGUCCUGCAACUCUACCCUGGAGCCUCCCACCCCUUCAAAAGCUGCAGGAAGAGGCCUGCAGGCAAGAGAAGAGGACUGCAGGAGUGAGCAAUUUAAGAAAUGGAAGGCCGAGGUUUUCCAAUCUAAUUAACAGCAUGACAAGCCAGGAUGGGCUGCUGACACGCAUGGAGCCUUGCACAGCCAGAAACGCGGUGUCCUGCUCCGCUCCUGAGACGCCAGGGCUGUCACUGCAACACAGCCCCCAACACUUCCACACGGGCGGACUCUGGCUCUCCAGGCACCGCAGCGCCCUCUCCUUCCCUUCCCAGCUCUCCUGAGGCCUGUGGUUCUGGGAGUCUCUGCCCCGUGCAAGCGUGACCGUGGCCCUCCUCCCAUGUCCAGCCGCACCAGGCCCUGGGAUCCCGGAUCUGGCUUCACCUUUGCAAGGGGCUCAAAGCAAGCACCUAUGGGGGUGGGGGCGGCAAAGCCGUCUGGCCAAGGUCCCUUCUCUAGAGUGCCUGUCUGUCUGUCUGUCCUUGAGGAGCCUGAGGAGUGCAAGGCAGGACAGGCAGGCACCAGCUGACCCGGUACCGGGCAGGGACCAGUGCAGGACCUCGAGGCAGGGCUGGGUGGGGUGGGGGUGGCCAGAGUCUCCUGGCUCGGAGCAGACACGGGUGAGUGGCACAGACUGUCCUCACACCCUCCUGGGACAAAGGUAGGAAUCCGUGACCAGGACAGACACAGGCAGGACUGGGAGAGGCAGAGCAGGUGCCUGAGCUUGGCCACGCACAGCUUCCAAUGAGGUUGGGCCAUCCACAGCUCCCUAAGGUUCCCCGCCACUGUUCACCCCACCCCAGCACAGCCGAGAGCUGUGGUUUCUCCUCCCAUGGAGUCCUGCAUGGCUGCCCACUCCAGGCCCAGCCCAAGGGCACCGCCUUCUCCAGGCUGCCUUCCCCGCACAUGCCACACCUCCAGCCCCAGCAGGUUCUGAGGAGGGGAGGAGCUGGGGCCCCCACUUGCCCUCCUGUUGCCAGGAUACAGGCCCAGGAAAAAAUGCCACAGUGCUGGAUUAAUGUCUAGACAACGUGACCUUUCCCCUGGUUCUCUAGAUAUAAUUGGGACCCAAAUUGUCCGGUGUCAUGAGCUGACAGCAGGGAUGAAGGAGGGGUCUGUUCUCGGUGCCCCGAGGGGACUCCGGGAGAGGGAGAGGGCAGCCCACUACCUGCGUGGGGGCUGCAUGGGGACGAGCCAGGGUCGCCCACAAAGGCGCUUUCUGUGGAGGGGACGUCACCUCUUCCAUCAGCGAUGACGCAGCUCUGAGAUCACAGUGUCCUCGCAGUGGCUCCCGUUAACUCCCUGCUGCCCAUCCUGCCAGGCUGGUGCCACGAGACCCUCGGGGCUGGGCCGUGGGACAGGUGCCUGCCCAGCCCUGCAAACACAUCCAGCAGGUGUCAAGGGCUGCCAAGCACAGACUCCGACUGCCAGCCAUGCACAGUGCCAGCUGCGACAGCAACGCCUCUGCCAGGAGACACGGAGGAGACCGGCCCUGACGCUCCUGUCAGGGGGGGCUGCUGCACACUCAGGCAGGAUGCAGGGGUCCUGAGGGGGACCCUCGGCUCACCCACGGCUCCCGUGGCCGGUCUGGUCCUGGUAUUUAUCUCAACUUCAUUGUUGUCCAGAAGCUGCUUUUUAUUAUUUGUGACCAUGAAAGGAUGUAAACAAAUUCCUGUUUUGAGUCAAAGCUACCUGCAUCCACCAGGCCACAGAGCAGGGACACGGCCGCAAUGUGGAGUCAGUAAGCCAAGGCUGUGAGAAGAUUCUCAGGAGGGGGGUCCAGGGAGGGAGAACUGAGGGCUGGGGUUUCGGGGGGGCAUUUUACUUUUUAUUCCAGGCAGCGCUGUAUUGGCUGGGGCCUCAAAUGCUGAAUAAUGCUCCUGUUGGACUUCAGUAAUUUAAAAAAAUAAAACUGUUUAAAAAUC
RNAcentral lists this non-coding RNA (2342 nucleotides) under Pan troglodytes (chimpanzee). Lineage: Eukaryota; Metazoa; Chordata; Mammalia; Primates; Hominidae. The record is from RNAcentral.